This 173-nucleotide ribosomal RNA is filed under the name Cercospora lactucae-sativae. RNAcentral's name for it is "partial 18S ribosomal RNA". It matches the Rfam family "Eukaryotic small subunit ribosomal RNA", at positions 1661 to 1831 of the family's 1831-position model. Lineage: Eukaryota; Fungi; Ascomycota; Dothideomycetes; Mycosphaerellales; Mycosphaerellaceae. The record is from RNAcentral.
UGUACACACCGCCCGUCGCUACUACCGAUUGAAUGGCUCAGUGAGGCCUUCGGACUGGCCCAGGGAGGUCGGCAACGACCACCCAGGGCCGGAAAGUUGGUCAAACUCGGUCAUUUAGAGGAAGUAAAAGUCGUAACAAGGUCUCCGUAGGUGAACCUGCGGAGGGAUCAUUA